GCCUCACAGUCUAGUAAUAAGGACUCGGCAAUUACAGGAACUUCUAGAGCCAGUUCCCUUCAGGAGCAUGCCAGGCUGAGAGGCUUUGUCCUGUGGAGAAGUGGAAAAGGUCAGGGGAGGGGAAAGAAAGAGCCCUUCCCUGUCAAGGCGCCAGCGAGGGAUGGAGACAAAGGGAGGCUCCAUGGAGAUGCAAUGUGAUCAGCUGGCCUUCUGCUCUGGUCAUCAUGACUUCCCUGCCUGAAACCAUAUCUUCCCUUUCAUGAUGGAAUGGUCCUCUCAAGUUAUAAGAUGAAAUAAAUCUCUCUUUCCCUAAAA
Molecule: long non-coding RNA, 315 nt
Organism: Grammomys surdaster
Lineage: Eukaryota; Metazoa; Chordata; Mammalia; Rodentia; Muridae
Exons: 2
Source: RefSeq, a predicted model, not a curated record